CAUAUACUCCCUCCGUCCCAUAUUAAGUGACUCAAAUUUGUCUAAAAAUGGAUGUAUCUAUAGCCUAAAAUACAUCUAGAUACAUGUACCAUUCCGGCACUUAAUAUGGGAUGGAGGGAGUAUUAA
Molecule: non-coding RNA, 126 nt
Organism: Brachypodium distachyon (stiff brome)
Lineage: Eukaryota; Viridiplantae; Streptophyta; Magnoliopsida; Poales; Poaceae
Source: Rfam